GCACCGCGCACAGGCUGUGCCAAAGUCCACAGGCACCCUUCGGCCUCCAUCAUCGCGCCCUCUUCACAGAUGAGCAAACGGAGGCCAGACGUCACCGGCAGGCGGCGCUGCGGUGCGCGAGGCCUCGCACCUGCACGGGAAGCAGCGGAGAGGACGCAGUGCUACAGUAACAGAACCUUUGGUCCAGAGCCUGGGAUGUUGCCUUUUGCCCACUGGAAUUCCCAUCUUGGAAGAGUAAGCGCAGGGGAUUGUCCAGACAGCCAGGAGGCCAGCGAAGCCAAGUCCUUCAGUACAGCCUGGGAGCCUCCAGGAAGCUGUUAGGAGUUGCCAUGAUGGGUGCAUUUGGACUCACAGAAUCUGCCUUCCAAUCUCAGUGCUGCUUCUACUCCUUUGCUACCUUAGGUCUUUGAAGACAGGUCCAUACCUUGGGUGUUUGUAUUUGGACAACCACAGACAUUGCCAAGAAAUGUAUCUGUUCUACUUGCACACCUUCACCACCUGGAUGCUGCUUGAGGACACAGAUCUGGUCCAUCAGAUUUCUCUCUGUACUCCUCUCUAUAUUUCGCCAUAUUUGAUAUAGACCCAUCAAUGGCUCCCUAGAAUAAAAUCUCAACUCUUCACUGUGCCCACAGCCCCAGUGACCUUGCCACUUCCAUCAGAGCCCUCACACCAGUGCCCAGACAUACAGACUGACCUCCUGACCAUCCCCCAGAUGUGCUAAGGCCGGUUCUGCUUCUGGACUUCUGAACAGACAUGUUUGGUAAACCCAAACAUUUCAGAUGGUGAAUAGCUCUGAAAGCAAAGUAAGACAGGGUAGGGCAGGAAGGACUUCCAGCAAAGUCACCCCAGGCUGGCCCCUUUC
This 862-nucleotide long non-coding RNA is filed under the name Homo sapiens (human). Its description in RNAcentral is "HSALNT0152283". The record is from RNAcentral. Lineage: Eukaryota; Metazoa; Chordata; Mammalia; Primates; Hominidae.